Molecule: long non-coding RNA, 261 nt
Filed under: Oryza brachyantha (malo sina)
Lineage: Eukaryota; Viridiplantae; Streptophyta; Magnoliopsida; Poales; Poaceae
Description: long non-coding RNA (OBRA_LNC001706)
Source: RNAcentral
UCCUUUUCCCUUCUUCUUCUCCCUCCCAGCCAGCAGGUCGCCGGCCCACUCCUUUCUCCCCCACCGCCGGCCCGCUCCCCCUCUUUUUUUCCCUCUCACCCGGCCCAGCAGCGCCCACCUCCCAUCUUCCCUCUCCACCUCCUCCUUCCGCGUGGGCCGGCCCAAACCGAGCUGCCACUCGCCUCUCUCUCGCGCGCCCGAGGUCUGGACUGCCACUCUCUCCUCCUCGGGUGAGAAUGACAGGUGGGGCCCACAUGUCAU